RNAcentral lists this ribosomal RNA (440 nucleotides) under uncultured bacterium. RNAcentral describes it as "partial 16S ribosomal RNA". It matches the Rfam family "Bacterial small subunit ribosomal RNA", at positions 338 to 795 of the family's 1533-position model. The record is from RNAcentral.
CCUACGGUGGGCAGCAGUGGGGGAUAUUGCACAAUGGGGGAAACCCUGCUGCCGCGACGCCGCGUGUGGGAAGACGGUCCUCUGGAUUGUAAACCACUGUCCCCAGGGACGAAGAUGACGGUACCUGGGGAGGAAGCUCCGGCUAACUACGUGCCAUCAGCCGCGUUAAUACGUAGGGAGCGAGCGUUGUCCGGACUUACUGGGUGUAAAGGGAGCGUAGGCGGGACUGCAAGUUGGGUGUCAAAUCUACCGGCUCAACCGGUAGCCGCACUCAAAACUGCAGUUCUUGAGUGAAGUAGAGGCAGGCGGAAUUCCUAGUGUAGCGGUGAAAUGCGUAGAUAUUAGGAGGAACACCAGUGGCGAAGGCGGCCUGCUGGGCUUUUACUGACGCUGAGGCUCGAAAGUGUGGGGAGCAAACAGGAUUAGAUACCCUAGUAGUC